GAUGAACGCUGGCGGCGUGCCUAAUACAUGCAAGUCGAGCGAACGGACGAUAAGCUUGCUUCUCUGAUGUUAGCGGCGGACGGGUGAGUAACACGUGUAUAACCUACCUAUAAGACUGGGAUAACUUCGGGAAACCGGAUCUAAUACCGGAUAAUAUUUUGAACCGCAUUGUUCAAAAGUGAAAGACGGUCUUGCUGUCACUUAUAGAUGGAUCCGCGCUGCAUUAGCUAGUUGGUAAGGUAACGGCUUACCAAGGCAACGAUGCAUAGCCGACCUGAGAGGGUGAUCGGCCACACUGGAACUGAGACACGGUCAAGACUCCUACGGGAGGCAGCAGUAGGGAAUCUGCCGCAAUGGGCGAAAGCAUGACGGAGCAACGCCGCGUGAGUGAUGAAGGUCUUCGGAUCGUAAAACUCUGUUAUUAGGGAAGAACAUAUGUGGAAGUAACUGUGCACAGCUUGACGGUACCUAAUCAGAAAGCCACGGCUAACUACGUG
Molecule: ribosomal RNA, 497 nt
Filed under: uncultured bacterium
Lineage: Bacteria
Description: partial 16S ribosomal RNA
Rfam family: Bacterial small subunit ribosomal RNA
Source: RNAcentral